RNAcentral lists this unclassified non-coding RNA (345 nucleotides) under soil metagenome. RNAcentral describes it as "partial contains 5.8S ribosomal RNA, internal transcribed spacer 2, and large subunit ribosomal RNA". The stretch from base 1 to 120 matches the Rfam family "5.8S ribosomal RNA", at positions 35 to 154 of the family's 154-position model. The record is from RNAcentral.
GAUGAAGAACGCAGUGAAAUGCGAUACGUAAUGUGAAUUGCAGAAUUCAGUGAAUCAUCGAGUCUUUGAACGCACAUUGCGCCCCCUGGUAUUCCGGGGGGCAUGCCUGUCCGAGCGUCAUUGCUGCCCUCAAGCACGGCUUGUGUGUUGGGCCUCCGUCCUCCUCCCGGGGGACGGGCCCGAAAGGCAGCGGCGGCACCGCGUCCGGUCCUCGAGCGUAUGGGGCUUCGUCACCCGCUCUUGUAGGCCCGGCCGGCGCUUGCCGACACAUCAAUCUUUUUUCCAGGUUGACCUCGGAUCAGGUAGGGAUACCCGCUGAACUUGAGCAUAUCAAUAAGCGGAGGA